Molecule: ribosomal RNA, 787 nt
Filed under: Cordyceps sp. CS5
Lineage: Eukaryota; Fungi; Ascomycota; Sordariomycetes; Hypocreales; Cordycipitaceae
Description: eukaryotic LSU rRNA
Rfam family: Eukaryotic large subunit ribosomal RNA
Source: RNAcentral
AGUGAAGCGGCAACAGCUCAAAUUUGAAAUCUGGCCCCCCAGGGUCCGAGUUGUAAUUUGCAGAGGAUGCUUUUGGCGAGGUGCCUUCCGAGUUCCCUGGAACGGGACGCCAUAGAGGGUGAGAGCCCCGUCUGGUUGGACACCGAGCCUCUGUAAAGCUCCUUCGACGAGUCGAGUAGUUUGGGAAUGCUGCUCUAAAUGGGAGGUAUAUGUCUUCUAAAGCUAAAUAUUGGCCAGAGACCGAUAGCGCACAAGUAGAGUGAUCGAAAGAUGAAAAGCACUUUGAAAAGAGGGUUAAAUAGUACGUGAAAUUGUUGAAAGGGAAGCGCUUAUGACCAGACUUGGGCCCGGUGAAUCAUCCAGCGUUCUCGCUGGUGCACUUUGCCGGGCUCAGGCCAGCAUCAGUUUGCCUUGGGGGAUAAAGGCUCUGGGAAUGUGGCUCCUCCGGGAGUGUUAUAGCCCACCGCACAAUACCCUGGGGCGGACUGAGGUUCGCGCAUUUAUGCAAGGAUGCUGGCGUAAUGGUCAUCAGCGACCCGUCUUGAAACACGGACCAAGGAGUCGUCUUCGUAUGCGAGUGUUCGGGUGUCAAACCCCUACGCGUAAUGAAAGUGAACGCAGGUGAGAGCUUCGGCGCAUCAUCGACCGAUCCUGAUGUUCUCGGAUGGAUUUGAGUAAGAGCAUACGGGGCCGGACCCGAAAGAAGGUGAACUAUGCCUGUAUAGGGUGAAGCCAGAGGAAACUCUGGUGGAGGCUCGCAGCGGUUCUGACGUGCAAAUCGAUCGUC